GACGAACGCUGGCGGCGUGCUUAACACAUGCAAGUCGAACGGAAAGGCCUGCUUUCCCUUGUGGAUUGCGGGUACUCGAGUGGCGAACGGGUGAGUAACACGUGAGUGAUCUGCCCCCAACUUGGGUAUAAGCCUGGGAAACUGGGUCUAAUUCCCGAUAGGACUGCAGGGUGGUGCCUGUGGUGGAAAACGAUUUUCUAGUGGUUGGGGAUGAGCUCGCGGCCUAUCAGCUUGUUGGUGGGGUAAUGGCCUACCAAGGCGGCGACGGGUAGCCGGCCUGGGAGGGUGGACGGCCACAUUGGGACUGAGAUACGGCCCAGACUCCUACGGGAGGCAGCAGUGGGGAAUAGUGCACAAUGGGCGGAAGCCUGAUGCAGCGACGCCGCGUGGGGGAUGACGGCCUUCGGGUUGUAAACUCCUUUCGGCCGCGAGGAAGCCACCUGGUUGGAAGGGUGGUGACGGUAGUGGUAGAAGAAGCACCGGCUAACUACGUG
This 494-nucleotide ribosomal RNA is filed under the name uncultured bacterium. RNAcentral describes it as "partial 16S ribosomal RNA". It matches the Rfam family "Bacterial small subunit ribosomal RNA", at positions 28 to 507 of the family's 1533-position model. The record is from RNAcentral.